AGACAUUUCAGAUUUAUUCAAAACUGUUAAACUAAACUAAAAUACAAAAUUAAUCUGUAACCCACCAAUGACAGUAACAUUGAAUCUCUUAUAUGAUGUUCUUCCAAGGUUGAUGACUGUUAGAUCAUAAAGUCCACAAUUUUCAGUUCUGAUGUUUCUGAUGGUCAGAGAACCAGUCUUUUCUUCCAUAUCAGGUCAUCUCUCUGUACUUCAGUAACAUCGGUGUGUAAAGUGAGAGAAUCUCCCCUCAUCACUGGUAUGGAUUGGAUUUCAUCAGUUUCGGCAGCACCAAACACACCUGAAAAUCAUUUUGAGCACAUUCUCAAUGACUCACCUGAAAAGAUGAAGAAGAUAAGCGUAAACAGAACGAAGAAAAUCAUCCUGACCGUUUUGCAGCCUGUUUAUCUCAAGAAGUGCCUUUGCGGAUGUAACGAGGGAUAUAUGUAGAGCAUAGUUACGCCUUUAUUGGUCCCAAGCGUGCGUCUGUGAUGGUGUCCACCUCCAGUCUGCAGGCGGCGAGUGCAAAAGCAGCGAUAAACUCCAUCAGGAAUGUCCAGCCUGCGAUAAACACCC
This is a long non-coding RNA of Carassius gibelio (silver crucian carp), 573 nucleotides long. RefSeq lists it as uncharacterized. The transcript is spliced from 4 exons. The record is from RefSeq and is a predicted model, not a curated record. NCBI's taxonomy places the organism in Eukaryota, Metazoa, Chordata, Actinopteri, Cypriniformes, Cyprinidae.